GGCCGAUGAGGAAAACCACUGUCAACGGCGAAAUGAAAUAACCCUAAAAACUAUCACUGAAACAACACCGCCUCAGUUGUAUACCCAAUAAUGAAACCAUUCCCAAAUCACAGUAAAAACAGUCAAAUACAGUACCUAUAGGACGAUGAAUAGCAACGGACGAAAACCCUAUACAGAUCAGAGAAGAGAAAUUUUUUAAAGGAACAUCAAAAUUAAUUGGGCGAAUAAAAAACAGAAUAAAUUUAAUAAACAAGUCAAAACCCAAAGAUUACAUACGCAGAAUCGGAACAAAAUCAAACCUUUGAAGGCCUAUUGUGCGACGUUCGUCUUAUCUGGAAGGAGGAAGGAGGCGAUUUAGGGAUUUCGG
RNAcentral lists this long non-coding RNA (367 nucleotides) under Gossypium barbadense (sea-island cotton). Its description in RNAcentral is "long non-coding RNA (GBAR_LNC016346)". The record is from RNAcentral. Lineage: Eukaryota; Viridiplantae; Streptophyta; Magnoliopsida; Malvales; Malvaceae.